This 1186-nucleotide long non-coding RNA is filed under the name Marmota monax (woodchuck). The record is from RNAcentral. Lineage: Eukaryota; Metazoa; Chordata; Mammalia; Rodentia; Sciuridae.
UCCGCGUGUGCCUGUCUGGGUGUGCGCGUUCCUGCUCCUGGAGGAUGUCAGGGAGAUGUGUACUGGGAUGUGCUGAUGCUACUUGAGAAGAGCUUGCUUAUCAAAAUCGCCUGGCAUCCGCUUAACUGGAAAAUCUGGUUUGGGGAGGCCAAGGGGGCCCUGUAGGAUUGUGAGGAAGCCUCACACUGUGUUCGCUCUUCCCCGGAGAGGCGCAGUUCAGCGAGAUGCGUGGGACGCGUGAGAGUCGCUGGUGCAGCGCUCGACGCACCCUAGAUUGGCCCUGGUGAGGACCUCAUAGAGUAGUCAUCUUUCUAACAGAUUGAAGUAAUCAAGUCAAACCAGCAUAACCUCUGGUCCUUAGAAUUCUCUGGCUACUUUCCUAGCACCGAUAGAAACAUGCGCUGCCUUUAUUUAUGGCUAGCGAUGUAGCAGUUGGGUGAACUCGGGCAUACGAACCACCUCCAGGGUGUCUCCUCCCUGUGUUCCAUGUGAUCCUUGCCUGCAGUAGUUAGAGAACAUUGUAAACAACAGUGUAAGCAUCCACAGUCUCCUUUAGAGCUGAACCUAUUGGUGUCUGUUUUGUUUACUUUCCUGGGUGGAUUACUCAUUAGGAAGUAUAAGCCUUUUUGCACGUCUGAUUUUACAUCCUUUCAGCCAGCUGCUGGGGAAAUGAGACGCAUACACUCUGGCAGGAGGAAAAACUAUCUUCUGUGUUUGCUCCGAAGUAAAUAGGCGGUCUGCUAAUUUUAGUGUCACAUGGGCUACCAUCCUAGUUAAAGAAUGUCAUCGUAGAAUUUGCAAAAAAACACUUCAGUGAUUUUUCAUUUGGAGAUCGUCCUGUAUCUCCCUGUGAGAUACCAGAGCUUAGAUUUCCCUAAUAUAUUUUUCAGUCUGUAAUGGUACCAAAUUCUUUGGAGUUCUGGCACCCAAUUUAUCUGUGUGUGGAUUGCUAAUAAAAUUGCCAGUUCUUUUUUAGUAUCACCAAAAGAGGAUAUCAGAUAAUUUGUGUAGGAGUUAGGAGGAUAUUUGUGUUCUGUCAGCUUUGUUUCAUCCAAUCUUUCUUUCUCCUCUUCCUUUUUUCUUUUUUUUUCUUUUGUAACUAAAGAAAGGGUAAAGAAUGUACAAGGUAAACAAUUUGUCAAUAGUUGCUUUUGCAAUGAUAACUACUUUUAAAUUUCAGUAAUUA